This 73-nucleotide transfer RNA is filed under the name Arthrobacter sp. AG1021. RNAcentral's name for it is "tRNA-Pro". It matches the Rfam family "tRNA". From Rfam's summary of the family: Transfer RNA (tRNA) molecules are approximately 80 nucleotides in length. Their secondary structure includes four short double-helical elements and three loops (D, anti-codon, and T loops). Further hydrogen bonds mediate the characteristic L-shaped molecular structure. tRNAs have two regions of fundamental functional importance: the anti-codon, which is responsible for specific mRNA codon recognition, and the 3' end, to which the tRNAs corresponding amino acid is attached (by aminoacyl-tRNA synthetases). tRNAs cope with the degeneracy of the genetic code in two manners: having more than one tRNA (with a specific anti-codon) for a particular amino acid; and 'wobble' base-pairing, i.e. permitting non-standard base-pairing at the 3rd anti-codon position. Lineage: Bacteria; Bacillati; Actinomycetota; Actinomycetes; Micrococcales; Micrococcaceae. The record is from RNAcentral. RNAcentral also lists the same sequence under 2 other names.
CUGGAUGUAGGCCAAUUGGCAGGCCGCCUGAUUUGGGAUCAGGAGAAUGUAGGUUCGAGUCCUAUCAUCCGGA